Long non-coding RNA from Corvus hawaiiensis (hawaiian crow), 571 nucleotides. RefSeq lists it as uncharacterized. The transcript has 4 exons. NCBI's taxonomy places the organism in Eukaryota, Metazoa, Chordata, Aves, Passeriformes, Corvidae. The record is from RefSeq and is a predicted model, not a curated record.
GUUUCUGCAGUGAUUUCUGUGGCGCUCUCCCAGCAAACCGCAAGGUCAGGGCAGAAUGAAGCGGGCUGGUGAGACUGAAUCCAUCACCAUCACCACUUGCUAGAGUACAGCCAGAGCUUUUUUGGAACAUUUCUGUGUGGUGGGGGAGACUUGAAGACAGACAGCCCUCGGCAAAAGGGACCUGCUGGGAUCCACUCUGGAAUAGGAACACAGCUCUCUGCACUGCUGACAGGUGUUGGCACCCAGGAGAACUUGGAGCAGACUGGCAAUCCUGGAUGGAGAUGAUUCCCUUCUGUUUUCAGCCAGGACCUCACACCUGAUGUUCAAUCGUUUCAGCUGAGGGGACCAUACUCCUUCGCCAUGUUGCUGAGGACUUGUGCAGUUGUAAACCAUCUGCAAGGUUGCCUGAGAUCAACCCCUUGUGAAACCCAGUCUCUUACAGAUAUAUCUGAAGAGGCCAAGGCUGAACCUUGUGUGCGGUGCUGAGUGUAACUUUCUCUCUUCACUUGAAGUUUCUCGGCUCUGAGUGAUCCACGUGAGCAGGGUAAAUGUUUGCAGAUGCAAAAUUUCA